UCGGGGAGGAGCUGAGCUGAGCUACUGCAGGACGCAGCCCGACCGCCGAGCCUCCGUCUUUACUCCCGGGCAUCCCUCCCAGGCCUGGGCUGCGAGCUGCCGCUGCCGGGCCCAGCCAUUGCAGCUUCCCCGCUGGGGGGGCACAACAGAAGCACGUCGGCUGAUCCCCUCCAACGCGUGUAAAGACAAGCGAUAAUAAAAUCCAGGGGGAGAGUAUCAAGAGAACUGAGCAUCAAACCCAUCUGACUCCACUAUUUCUUCUCGAAAUAGUGAUUGUGAUGAGGAGAAAAUUGUGAAGAAGCGAAUGGUGUCUCACCUAUGUGGCCAGUGGCAGCUCUGGGUCUGCGGGUCAGGUCCCCUCCUGUGUAUCAGGCCUACAAGACGCAGCAGUUGCAAUAACAGCAGCAAGGCGUAGCUUGCUUGUCUGGCACGGCCGCGGCCGUUCACGGAGCCCCCGCCGGGCGAUCGGAGGGAAGAGGCGAGCUCGCUGUUUGCCAACAAACUACGCGGCGCUUCCUGCGGCUGUCCCGAGCAGCCUGUCUGCAAAUGGGAACCAAGUGCCGUUCACCGAGCUCCCUUUCCUGCUCGCACUGCUUCCUCCUCCCCCUGCCUUCCAAUCUUUCUCAAUUAAAGUGUCUGCCGGCCCCUAGGCAUUUACAUAUGUGAAUCCUAAUUCCCCUUGUCGAUGGCUGCCCGGCCUAGGGAGCCCGGAGCCUGCGUCCUUCCAGGUGGUGCGCAGGGAGCUGCUCCAUGCGAAGGACAGGCCUGCAGCCCCCGCUGGCCCGGGCGCUUUCCCCCCUUUCAAUCGCAAUUGUCAAAUUCCACUCCUUUGUUUUACUCUCCCUCCCAAAAGCUCAAGGCAGAGCCGAUGCAAAGCGCUAGCUAUGUACAAAUCGAGGAGAUCACACUCCCCAUUAUCUACCUCCUGGCGAGUGUUUGAUUUGUGACAUCAAAAGCUUAUCAAGACAAGCCUACAAAAAGCACCUCGCGUAGGCUGGGCUGAGCGAUCUCGCUGGUUUGGAUGGUCUCCCUUCCCAAGGGGUGGGGUAACAGGGGUGCUUAAAACGGUAUUGACUGCCACAGCAAAUUAAAUCGCUGCACUGAAGAGAGCUAGUGGCCAGGACCCGGGUGACUGCUAGCUCCCCGGCUGGUAGCGUAAAGAAUUUCCUGACCUGCACCCGCAGGGCAAUAUUGGGGGUCUGGCCGGCCGGACAGAAGGGGCUUAAUUGCCAUGCCUUGUUUUUUGUUUAUGUGUGUGUGAUUGAGGGUUAUAUGGAGGCCCUGAGUCCUCACAGCCAUCCGCUCCGAGUGGUUUGAUAUAAUCACCAUGACAACUGCAAUCUAUGAGCAUACAAAUAAUAGAGAUGAAAUAGACAAAAGAUUAGCAUGCCAUGAAAAGUACAAUAAGUUUCUUAUUUAGCAUUUAGAUAACUGUCUUUCCUUCGGAGCAGGCUUCAAAGUUGAACCCAGUUUAGACCAAGAGGAUUAAUUCUUUCUCCAGCAUGCUUCAUUGAAUCUCUCAUUACCAAACUUUGUCUGUAUUGAUGUUAGAUUUGAUUGAAGAUUAGAGCAUUUAGCAAAUCUUGCUUUUCUGCAUGUAUCAGGCCUUUUCAAGCACAGCCCGCCCUGCCCAGUGGUCAAUACCCUUACUUUUAUCCAGUGUCUGCUUCAUUUAAACUUAAUCAACUCCAUCAAUGAACUGGAACAGGGAAACGUCCCUGCGGUGAGAAUGUUGUGCUUUUCUUAGAUAAUUCUUUGCUCCCUUUCCCAAUCCGUUGGCGUUAAACCUAAAAUUGCACUCUGAUGAACUUAAUCAAUAUGAUAAUGACAAUUGGGGCUGAAUGGCUCUGCUAGGGCUCAAAGUGGAAAAGGUAGAUGGCUGGGCCCAUUACCCAAAACAACUUCUCUUGUCUUGCCUUUUCUUUUGUGUGAGCUACUCCUAUCUUUCUUUCUUUUUUUCUUUCUUUCCUUUUCCCUCCCCCUCCCUGACACUGAAUACUGCUCAUGCUGGAAAAUGAUGCAUCUUGGUGAGGAAAACUGAAGCAGACCGAUUGGCUCUGUGAAUUAUCUGGCUUGUUGCAGUGAAUUAUUUGCACUGUUUCCUUUACCAGUCAACAAGUUUCUGAGGUAUAGUACAGAUCAAUCAAAGCUGACAGAGCGUAUGUGAAGCUUUUACUGUGUAAAUCUGGACCUCUUGUCCUGGCUUCGUUGGCACUGGCAUCUGUAUAUCAUUUUUAUACUGCUACCAGUAGAGCAAUUUCAAAAGUAUUUGCAAGGAAAAUGUAUGUCCCCAUCUGUUCCUGGAAUCAUAAAUGUGCCACUUUUGGAGGGUUUUCACUGGUAAUCAUAUCUUUAAUGAUGAACAAACUUGUGAUAUAUACCUUUCCAUAAAAUGGGGUUUUCUUCACUUUAUUGUGAUUGGCUAGGAUAAAUAGCUUUUCCAUAUGUUAGGGAGAUAAAAUAUAAGAUUAGCAGGGCUCGUUUGUUUGAUCAUAAACAACAGAAAAAAAUCAUUCCAAAUACUCUUUAAACAGAAACAACUACAGAAUUAAGUUGCAUUAAUUGGCUAUCUAUGGCCCACCACUAAGGGGUAAACAAUUGCCUCCCUGGAAAUGACAUUUUAAAAUAAGAUUAUAGUGUUUUGUUCAUUCUGAAUUAUAAUACAUUCACUGAUUUUAAAUAUGUUGUUAUUAUUUUAAUUUUUGACGUAGUUUUGUGUCUUUAGAUUUUUUAUUUUGCAGGUUCGCUUUUGAUGGCAAUCUCUAUAGCACAAAGGGUGCUAUUUAGUAAGUUGCCACAUGUAUAUUUAGAAAGCAGAUGGGGGGGGGGGAAUGUCUUUAGCAGUCUUUGCAUGCUAUUGUUGUAAAGGUUCCUCAAGUAAGAGUGCUUGAAAUGUAAAUAUUCAAUUUUUAAACCAGCCAACCUUUUGCACUUGCUGGAAGUGUUGAAUAAAGAAUAGUAAGGGGAGUCUUUUUAA
This is a long non-coding RNA of Malaclemys terrapin pileata, 2977 nucleotides long. RefSeq lists it as uncharacterized. The record is from RefSeq and is a predicted model, not a curated record. NCBI's taxonomy places the organism in Eukaryota, Metazoa, Chordata, Testudines, Emydidae. The transcript has 3 exons.